UGGGGAAUAUUGCACAAUGGGGGAAACCCUGAUGCAGCGACGCCGCGUGAGUGAGGAAGUAUUUCGGUAUGUAAAGCUCUAUCAGCAGGGAAGAAAAUGACGGUACCUGACUAAGAAGCCCCGGCUAACUACGUGCCAGCAGCCGCGGUAAUACGUAGGGGGCAAGCGUUAUCCGGAUUUACUGGGUGUAAAGGGAGCGUAGACGGAAUAGCAAGUCUGAUGUGAAAACCCGGGGCUCAACUCCGGGAGUGCAUUGGAAACUGUUGAUCUAGAGUGUCGGAGAGGCAAGCGGAAUUCCUAGUG
Molecule: ribosomal RNA, 303 nt
Filed under: uncultured bacterium
Lineage: Bacteria
Description: bacterial SSU rRNA
Rfam family: Bacterial small subunit ribosomal RNA
Source: RNAcentral